UCCUACUUACUCCAUCAAAAAAAAAUUAUUCCCAUUUACCCAACUUAAGUAUCAAAUAACAGUUUUACCCUCAGCCUAAUUAAUUAACUACAGACUCUCUCCCUCUUUCCCUCUCUCUCCCCCCACUUCAAAGAGACCAGUGUGACCAGCAAAUCGUCGGAGGCGGACGACUUCGCAGGCGAAGAAGAAGAAGAAGAGAGAAAAAGCUUCUCUCUCCGAUUUAACUCUCGGUUUUCUCCUCGAAACCACAACCAUCGAUAACCACCACCAAGCUCCGGCAAUGGCGUCCUCUAGGGUUUUGCUCUGCUUCUCCUGUUCAUCGCUCUGUGCUUCACUGCAAUCCAAAUUAUUUGACACUGUCAGCAAGUACGACUUCGUCGUCGUCGCGUUCACAGCUCGAUCUUUUUAAUUUCCUCUGUUAUGUUUGAUUUGAAUCGGUGUUGAUUGCUCUGGUUUUGGUUAUUUGUGUUUUCGCAUCUGUGGAUCUAGACUUUGAUUUGAAUUGGGGAAGGAGGUGGACCGAGGACAUUUUGGUCAUACUUGCUCGGCUAACGAAAAGAAAUGGAGAGCUUACAUGUGGUAUGGGCUUAUUUGGAUAGUGAAUUAUUGAUGUAUGAGCUUGUAAGUAUUUGA
This 633-nucleotide long non-coding RNA is filed under the name Rosa chinensis. RNAcentral's name for it is "sRNA RchiOBHm_Chr4g0437031". Lineage: Eukaryota; Viridiplantae; Streptophyta; Magnoliopsida; Rosales; Rosaceae. The record is from RNAcentral.